RNAcentral lists this transfer RNA (72 nucleotides) under Ovis aries (sheep). It matches the Rfam family "tRNA". Rfam says of the family: Transfer RNA (tRNA) molecules are approximately 80 nucleotides in length. The record is from Rfam by way of RNAcentral. Lineage: Eukaryota; Metazoa; Chordata; Mammalia; Artiodactyla; Bovidae.
UCCCUGGUGUCUCAGAUGGUAAAGAAACCACCUGCAAUGUGGGAGACCUGGGUUUGAUCCCCGGAUCGGGAA